UACGGAGGGUGCAAGCGUUGUCCGGAUUCACUGGGCUUAAAGGGUGCGUAGGUGGGGUGGUAAGUCAGUGGUGAAAUCUCCGGGCUUAACCCGGAAACUGCCAUUGAUACUAUCUGUCUUGAAUACCGUAGAGGUGAGCGGAAUAUGUCAUGUAGCGGUGAAAUGCUUAGAUAUGACAUAGAACACCAAUUGCGAAGGCAGCUCACUACACGAAUAUUGACACUGAGGCACGAAAGCGUGGGGAUCAAACAGG
RNAcentral lists this ribosomal RNA (253 nucleotides) under uncultured bacterium. Its description in RNAcentral is "partial 16S ribosomal RNA". It matches the Rfam family "Bacterial small subunit ribosomal RNA", at positions 524 to 776 of the family's 1533-position model. The record is from RNAcentral.